RNAcentral lists this transfer RNA (74 nucleotides) under Zingiber officinale. It matches the Rfam family "tRNA". Rfam says of the family: Transfer RNA (tRNA) molecules are approximately 80 nucleotides in length. Their secondary structure includes four short double-helical elements and three loops (D, anti-codon, and T loops). The record is from Rfam by way of RNAcentral. Lineage: Eukaryota; Viridiplantae; Streptophyta; Magnoliopsida; Zingiberales; Zingiberaceae.
GCGUUCUUAGUUCAGUUUAGUAGAAUGUGGAUCUCCAAAACCCUCUGUCAUAGGUUCAAAUCCUACAGAGCGUG